RNAcentral lists this ribosomal RNA (429 nucleotides) under Chloroflexota bacterium. Its description in RNAcentral is "Chloroflexi bacterium partial 16S ribosomal RNA". It matches the Rfam family "Bacterial small subunit ribosomal RNA", at positions 355 to 776 of the family's 1533-position model. Lineage: Bacteria; Bacillati; Chloroflexota. The record is from RNAcentral.
UGGGGAAUAUUGCACAAUGGGCGCAAGCCUGAUGCAGCCAUGCCGCGUGUGUGAAGAAGGCCUUCGGGUUGUAAAGCACUUUCAGCGGGGAGGAAGGCGUUAAGGUUAAUAACCUUGGCGAUUGACGUUACCCGCAGAAGAAGCACCGGCUAACUCCGUGCCAGCAGCCGCGGUAAUACGUAGGUGGCAAGCGUUGUCCGGAUUUAUUGGGCGUAAAGCGAGCGCAGGCGGUUUCUUAAGUCUGAUGUGAAAGCCCCCGGCUCAACCGGGGAGGGUCAUUGGAAACUGGGAGACUUGAGUGCAGAAGAGGAGAGUGGAAUUCCAUGUGUAGCGGUGAAAUGCGUAGAUAUAUGGAGGAACACCAGUGGCGAAGGCGGCUCUCUGGUCUGUAACUGACGCUGAGGCUCGAAAGCGUGGGGAGCAAACAGG